AUCAACUUUCGAUGGUAGGAUAGAGGCCUACCAUGGUGGUAACGGGUAACGGGGUGUUAGGGCACGACACCGGAGAGGGAGCCUGAGAAACGGCUACCACAUCCAAGGAUGGCAGCAGGCGCGCAAAUUACCCAAUCCCGACACGGGGAGGUAGUGACAAUAAAUAACAAUAUAGGGCUCUUUUGGGUCUUAUAAUUGGAAUGAGUACAAUUUAAAUCCCUUAACGAGGAACAAUUGGAGGGCAAGUCUGGUGCCAGCAGCCGCGGUAAUUCCAGCUCCAAUAGCGUACAUUAAAGUUGUUGCAGUUAAAAAGCUCGUAGUUGAACUUCAGGCCCGGCUGGGCGGUCCGCCUCACGGCGUGUACUGUCUGGCUGGGUCUUACCUCUUGGUGAGCCGGCGUGCCCUUUAUUGGUGUGCGUCGGGGAACCAGGACUUUUACCUUGAGAAAAUUAGAGUGUUUAAAGCAAGCUAACGCUUGAAUACAUUAGCAUGGAAUAAUGAAAUAGGACGUUCGAUCCUAUUUUGUUGGUUUCUAGGAUUGACGUAAUGAUUAAUAGGGAUAGUUGGGGGCGUUAGUAUUCAAUUGUCAGAGGUGAAAUUCUUGGAUUUAUUGAAGACUAACUACUGCGAAAGCAUUUGCCAAGGAUGUUUUCAUUAAUCAAGAACGAAAGUUAGGGGAUCGAAGACGAUCAGAUACCGUCGUAGUCUUAACCAUAAACUAUGCCGACUAGGGAUCGGAUGAUGUUAAUUUUUUAAUGACUCAUUCGGCGCCUUACGGGAAACCAAAGUGUUUGGGUUC
RNAcentral lists this ribosomal RNA (799 nucleotides) under uncultured Glomus. RNAcentral describes it as "bacterial SSU rRNA". It matches the Rfam family "Eukaryotic small subunit ribosomal RNA", at positions 314 to 1114 of the family's 1831-position model. Lineage: Eukaryota; Fungi; Glomeromycota; Glomeromycetes; Glomerales; Glomeraceae. The record is from RNAcentral.